UAUUCUGGAUUAGCCGCCUGAUUUCAGGCUAGGCUGGUGGUGAAAUAACCACCGGCCU
RNAcentral lists this small RNA (58 nucleotides) under Rheinheimera sp. SA_1. Its description in RNAcentral is "Pseudomonas sRNA P26". It matches the Rfam family "Pseudomonas sRNA P26". From Rfam's summary of the family: P26 is conserved across many Gammaproteobacteria species and appears to be consistently located between the DNA directed RNA polymerase (beta subunit) and 50S ribosomal protein L7/L12 genes. The record is from Rfam by way of RNAcentral. Lineage: Bacteria; Pseudomonadati; Pseudomonadota; Gammaproteobacteria; Chromatiales; Chromatiaceae.